UAAGAAACCUGGUAACAGCUGAUAGGUACCAAAAGGGUGAGCAGAAGCCCCCCAUAUUUAGUGUAAAUAAUGGAACAAAUGAACAGACAUUCAGCCAGCCGAUACUGAUGCACACAUGCCGGAGAGCCUGAUGAGAACCUAGACUGACAUCCCAACUUGUCUCAUCUGCCUGAUCCUCUGCAUCGUCCUCACCGCUCUCAAACUCUACAGCAGCCUCUUGACCCUGGUGAGAAAGGUGCCUUCUCCUCAGGCAGCCGUCAACUCCACAACAGGAAAAGCCUCCAUCAGCUCCUGACUCCAUCGCUGCGGUCUGAGCAGCAUAAGGAAUCUAGUCCCAUGAUGCUGGGAAAGGUUGGGACAGAGAUGUCCCAUCUGCCCAAAAGAGGCCUGCAGAGAGUUCAGACCAGCACUCCCACUGCUGAUGAACCACUCAGAUGUUUGAUCACCUGGGAACUAUCACAGAGCACGACAGCCACAGACGGACACUGACAUAGCUCUUGCUUUGUGAGAGUCUAAGCUCUCUCCAGGUUCUGGGCCACUAACAAUGACCAGCACACAGCAGGAACUCAACAGAUAAAUGUCCAUUCAGGAAAUGGAUGAAUGAUUUCAUCAUCAGACCUUUCUUCAAAUGUAUGAAGAUUCCAUAUAUAGUUGAUGAACAGCUGAUAGAUAUUUUCAACGAGAACCCACAGAAAUAAUCCAGUAAAUGUCAACUGAGUAGAUAGUGUGAAAAAGAAAUAUGUCGCCGUGGUGGAAUCAAUCCUUUGUCCUCCUUCUGAGAACAGUGUGAGGGCAGCUGUUACUGAUCCUGAGAGAUAGUUGUUCACAAUCCUUUUUGAGUCAGAGAUCUCAUAGCAGGUCAGAAUUUCAGAGACACACCCAAUGGGGUCACCUCAAGAUGAUGGGAGAAGAAACAAAGUCUUAGCUGCCCCCAGCACCAUCAAACCUCUGUGGUCCCCAGAGUAACCUCCACUCUACCCUGAGUCUAGCUUCUGGAGCCUGAGCCCCAGCUGCCACCUUUACACCCAAGGGAAAGACCCCAGGUGACAAAAUGCAAAGGCGAGGUGAACCAACAUGGAGCCGCAGGUUUUCCUGCUAAAUCUGUUCCUCUACAAUGAAGGAGGAAAAUUGCCCAAAGGGAAAUUCAUGUAGCUGUGGCAGUGCCCUAUCACAAAAGAAGAUGGAGAUACUACAGACGCCAACUGAGGUGAACACUUUUUAAAUGACCUGUGAUAAAUGUAUAGUUUUUACGAGCUAUUUUACCAAGAUUUUAAAACACAAAUGCUAAUUUCCUUUCAUCUGCAAUGGAGAUACAGACAUGCACCAUAUAUUCAGUAUCACUGUUGCUUUUGGGAGAAGGGGAAGUAUUGCAGGAUAGAAAUGUGCCCAAGGCCAAUUUCAAAUGAGAGAAAACAAAACCUGUAGUUUAAAAACCAAACAGACUCAAAUUUCAUUGCCUGAAAAUGGAAACUCAAAUGAAGUAAAGAAAAAUCCUAUUGUCUGUGGAAA
This is a long non-coding RNA of Marmota flaviventris (yellow-bellied marmot), 1509 nucleotides long. RefSeq lists it as uncharacterized. The record is from RefSeq and is a predicted model, not a curated record. NCBI's taxonomy places the organism in Eukaryota, Metazoa, Chordata, Mammalia, Rodentia, Sciuridae.